Molecule: ribosomal RNA, 1093 nt
Filed under: uncultured eukaryote
Lineage: Eukaryota
Description: bacterial SSU rRNA
Rfam family: Eukaryotic small subunit ribosomal RNA
Source: RNAcentral
AACCUGGUUGAUCCUGCCAGUAGUCACAUGCUUGUCUCAAAGAUUAAGCCAUGCAUGUCUCAGUACUUGCUUUAACAAGGCGAAACCGCGAAUGGCUCAUUAAAUCAGUUAUGGUUCACUAGAUCGUACAGUUUACAUGGAUAACUGUGGUAAUUCUAGAGCUAAUACAUGCAACCAGUCCGUACCCUCGUGGUGCGGACGCAGUUAUUUGCCCAAGACCAAUCCGGCCCUCGGGUCGUUCAAUUGGUGACUCUGAAUAACCGAAGCAGAGCGUUUGGUCUCGUACCGGCGCCAGAUCUUUCAAGUGUCUGACUUAUCAGCUUGUUGUUAGGUUAUGUUCCUAACAAGGCUUUCACGGGUAACGGAGUGUCAGGGCCCGACACCGGAGAGGGAGCCUGAGAAACGGCUACCACAUCCUAGGAAGGCAGCAGGCGCGCAAAUUACCCACUCCCGGCACGGGGAGGUAGUGACGAAAAAUAACGAUGCGAGAGCUUUUAGCUUCUCGUAAUCGGAAUGGGUACACUUUAAAUCCUUUAACGAGGAUCUAUUGGAGGACAAGUCUGGUGCCAGCAGCCGCGGUAAUUCCAGCUCCAAUAGCGUAUAUUAAAGUUGCUGCGGUUAAAAAGCUCGUAGUUGGAUCUGGGUAGUCGAUGGACGGUGCUCCGUAAGGAGCUACUGCCCGUUCGGCACCACAGCCCGGCCAUGUCUUGCAUGCUCUUCACUGAGUGUGCUUGGCCGACCGGAACGUUUACUUUGAAAAAAUUAGAGUGCUCAAAGCAUGCGUUAAGGCUUUGUAUUAUGGUGCAUGGGGAUAAUGCAAUAAGAUUUUUGGCUUUGUUCUGUUGGGUUUAGAAGUCAUACGUAUGAUAAGAUAUGAACAGACUGGGGCAUGCGUAUUAGCGACGAUAUGACGUGAAAUUCUCGAUCGUCGCAUGACCGCACUACUGGCGAAAGCAUUCGUCAGGAUGAUUUUCAUAUUCAGACGAAGGUAAAGGUCGGAGAAUCCGAUAGCGGCCUAGUUCUAGCUUAACCAUGCCUACACGAUCGCUGUGCUAAUAGUAUCACGCGACUCGAUCAUGCUUAAGUUCGCGGA